CGAUUCCCUGCUCAGUAACACUGUCUGUGCAGCGUAGCACCACUGGCUGUCAAAGGCAUACUCCUGAUUUACAUCUGUGUUAGCAAAAGGAGAACUGGACUCCCCCUUGUAUGUGCAAGUUUUUCAGUUGAGGCUCGUAUUCCACCCUUCGCUGGAGCUGCCAAAGAUACCGCUUGAGUUUGCGUGUAUAGAAGAUCUUUUGAGUACAUGUAUAUGCAGCUCAUUCAAAAGCUCAGGCAAGAUGAACCCAUGAUGAAUUCCCAGAAGAAAUUGAGGAAAGUGGAUCAGAAAAUCAGGGAAUGGACCAUAAUAAAAUGGUCAGAAAGGGGGAUCACCUGGCCCAUUGUUUUGCCUGAAGACAGGAUUGACUUCAGCUAAAUGAAAGUGGAUUCUAAAGGUUGAAGUUCUACCAACAAAACUCAAAACAACUGCAAUUUUAAUGACAUGCAGCCAAAUGGAAUACCUAC
Grus americana (Whooping crane) is the source of this 467-nucleotide long non-coding RNA. RefSeq lists it as uncharacterized. The transcript is spliced from 3 exons. NCBI's taxonomy places the organism in Eukaryota, Metazoa, Chordata, Aves, Gruiformes, Gruidae. The record is from RefSeq and is a predicted model, not a curated record.